Mesocricetus auratus (golden hamster) is the source of this 1427-nucleotide long non-coding RNA. RefSeq lists it as uncharacterized. The record is from RefSeq and is a predicted model, not a curated record. Lineage: Eukaryota; Metazoa; Chordata; Mammalia; Rodentia; Cricetidae. The transcript is spliced from 2 exons.
GCCCUAUCUCAAAAGUCAGGGCAGAAGACUAUGGAGGAAUUAUAGCCAGGAUUGUCCUCUGGCUUCAUGCCAUGCCAACGGGCAGAAAGAAAACAAUGAAGGGCAAACAUGUCACCUAAGCACCUGAGACCUCAGCUGACUCAGCAGCAAUGUGCGAGUAUCAUUUGUCCCACUUCAUCCCCACCCCCACUCCACUCCACCUCAGCAAGGGGACCAGCGAAUGAACAAGCAGAAGUCCAGCACAGCCUGGCAUAGAGAGUCACCAGCUUUUACUCUUCGCGUAAGGUCGUUACGGAAUUACUGAGGUUUCCCAUGUACCGUCCUUCCAGUAAGUUCAGUGGAAGAUUAACAGAGGUAAAGGGGAUGCAGAGAGACCAGCCAGGAGCUCCUGAGGGAGCUGGUCAUCCCUGAGCCGUGCUCUCGGUAUCCCUGUGUGAGACCAGGUAAGCAUCUGCAAAGGGCUGGCAGAUAGAUGACUUCACCCAAGCCACAGCUGCUUCCCCUGCAGGCCCUGCUACCCCUCCAAGCAGGGAGAUGGGUUUUAACCCUGGAUAUCCAUUCACUAGCAGGAAGAGGAAGUAGACAUCAUCAGAGCGUUUCCAAGGUCCCUCAAUGAGUCGCCAGCCGAUUUCUCAACUCAGAGCCUCGUGCUGUGUCACUAGGCUCCCCAUCCUCAGAUUCUGAACAAUGCAGACAUGGGGUAACCCUGUGACACCUCCACACACAUGUCUUCUGUCGCCCACGUGUGGGUCCUAGUUUCCUUCCCAGACAGCGACUACAGCCAGACAUGCUGAGGUCUGGAGAAUUUCUCUGCCCACAUGAAUGACCGGGCCACUCUAUACACAGCACAGCCCUGUGAGGGUGUUUUAUCACAGCAACAGAAAACAAACUAGAACAAAUGUCCUAGACUGCAUAAGAAGAAGAAGGUGAAGAGAGGACCAGCACCUCCUGUCUCUGCUUCCUGUGGGUGCAGUGUGGCCAACUGCCCCACACUCCUGCCACCAUAUCUCCCUGCAUGAUGGACUGGACCCCGAACAAAAAGCAAGCCUUCCUUAAGUGUUUUUAUCCGGCAUUGUGUCACCGAGAUGGGAAAAGCAACUCACACCCUGCCUUUUUCAGUCAGCCUGCUUUCCUAAGCCCUGUCUUUCAGAAAUUUCUGGACAUUUUCUAAAGGUUGUAACAUUUUGUUUUCAUCUACAUAGUAGUAAACUAGUUUAUAAGAUCACCGCAGGGGGGCAAGUUCCAUCACCAUGGAGCCUCAGCCUGCUUUGCCAGCACAGCUCUUAGUAUCCAAGUGGUGUUCUAGCGUUUACUACAGAGAAUUGCUGCUGCCGGGAAGCUUGCCUGGGAGGAGUGAGGUCUCUUUCUGCAUACGGCCUGGGGAGGAGCUCUGAUGACCUCCCUCUAACAGAGUCCUAAAACAGUCA